GACACCAUGGACCUCGAGGAUGGGCAGCCGCAUACCCAGAAUGUUCUGCGAAGAACCAAUCACCUGUUGACAUUACAGAUGAGCGAGCUUUGGUUUCGGAGGAGUACCAGGAGCUGGUGUUUGACAAGUUCAACACUGAGUCCUCCAACCAGACCACCAUGAAAAACACUGGAAAGACAGUUGCUGUUCUCCUGAAGGAUGACUACUUCGUAAGAGGUGCUGGACUGCCAGGGCGUUUUAAGGCUGAGAAGAUUGAGUUUCACUGGGGCCAUAGUAAUGGAUCAGCAGGCUCAGAACACAGCAUCAAUGGCAGAAGGUUUCCUGUAGAGAUGAAGAUUUA
Long non-coding RNA from Notothenia coriiceps (black rockcod), 340 nucleotides. RefSeq lists it as uncharacterized. The transcript has 3 exons. NCBI's taxonomy places the organism in Eukaryota, Metazoa, Chordata, Actinopteri, Perciformes, Nototheniidae. The record is from RefSeq and is a predicted model, not a curated record.